Long non-coding RNA from Acinonyx jubatus (cheetah), 7043 nucleotides. RefSeq lists it as uncharacterized. NCBI's taxonomy places the organism in Eukaryota, Metazoa, Chordata, Mammalia, Carnivora, Felidae. The record is from RefSeq and is a predicted model, not a curated record. The transcript has 6 exons.
CGAGACACGCCACUUCCUCCCCGGUUGCCCUGGAGCCCUGUGGAAGCUAAGAAUGCGAGGAGUCUCUGCUCCUUUCCCCUUCCGGAUUUUUGCUUCAGCUGCGGCGCAGUCUGACCGAGCAGCUUCGAGGGUCUUCCGCCGGCGGCUUGUUGGUGCAGUGGAAUCCCCCAGGGAGCUGAGUGGUUCGUGGAAUCUUCUUACCGGUACAGCUUUCACUGUUGCUUGUGUUACAGUGUGAGGCUGGCCUGGGAACUGGUGUGAAGACCGCAGCCCUCGCUGCAGGGGGGCCCAGGGAGCCGGAAAAUCGGUUGCAGCACGCGUGUCUGUGAUGCUCCCCUUUUCUGAGGUCUGCAGCUGCCGCCCGGAGGAGAUCUAGCAGAGCCAUUUAUCAAACACACACAAUUAAGGCCAGCGUCGGCCGAGAUCUAUUCCAGGAGCGGAGCAGAGCCUGGGAGUGGGGCAAGUGACGCAAGUGACGCACAACGGAUCGUCCAAUCGGACCAAGGUCCUCCAGUGAGGGCGGAGCGAGCGUUGGAUCCUGGGUGGUCAAAUUUAGGCCCUGUGCUUCAGGCCGCGCCUGGACAACCAGAUACGAAAAUAGAGAUUUUUGGCUGAGCGUUGGCCUGGGAGACACCGAGACUGUAGAUAUUAGCAGAGAGAAGGAGGCCAGUUGUCAUGGGAAGAGUUUACCAAAGACAAUUUCGAGAGCUGGUUCCGCGAUUCCCCGGCUCCACGGCCAGAUCAAAGGAGCCUCCACAAGGAAGUGAAGUCCCAGAGGAACGGACCCGUGUAUGUUUGCAUGACGUUUGAUGAGGAGCGGACAGCUGUGGAGGAACGUGAUACCGUGAGGUACGUGUUGUAAACUGCGGGCAUCCAGAGAAGGCUGUUUGUUAGCGUUCUUCUGGGUGAUUCCCUGGUCUUCAGAGAGAAGGACGUUCCUCUCCUCCAGGUCUAAAGAGGGCGCCACGCACAUGAUCUGCUUCACGAGAGAAGGGUGGAGGGGCCGGUGCUCCGACUUAGCCUUCUGACCUGCCGUCCUCUCAAACUCCUUCAGUGUAAAAUACUCAGUAUGCCAAGGUGCCAUACUUUGGGGGGAGUGGGUCUUAGACCCCGUCUGAGGAAACAAACCAGUAUCCUGGGGUGUGCUUUCUGUGGGCACCGAAGCUGCUAAGCCUCUCCAUUUAUUUUGAAGCUCUCCAUGGGUCUGACCCAAGCUUCGGAACCUACUUUUCUUAUCUUUCCUACACACACCUUCCUUCCUCGACACACACACACUCUCAACCUUUAGCUCUUUGGAGUCAUAGAAUUAUGAAAUGUCAGACUAUGAAAGAGGCUCUGGGCCCGAAACGACACACACCUUCCUGAUGAUGCGCAAGACAGACGUUACCAAUGCAUCAUGGUAAUGUCCCAUGAAGCUCAGUGUCUACCUCAGAAUCCUUCCCAACCCAGCAUUCCAGGUAUCCAGUUUUUUUGUGAGACAAAGUCUAGUUUACAGAUGCUUUCUUUGAAGCUUUAAAAGUCAACUCUGAAUCCCAGAGAAAUGAAGUCGCUCUUCCAAGGUCACACGGCCGGUUGGUGACUAGGGGAAGAUGGGCAACAGGCUCUCCUGCCCGGGCCUUUGCUCUCUCUCUCUCUCUCCUGAGCCAGGGUUUCCGAGACUUUGCCCAUUUAUUCACUGUCUUCUUGGACCUCGUUCUCUUGACCGGCGAUCUCUCACCGUCUCAUUCUUCAUCCACCGCCCACGGACUACCAGGUGAUUUACAAGACCCCAGACCCUUCUCAGACAGAAUCUUAGCAAGUGGCUGAUCCACACGGAGCCACGGCCAAGAGAAGCAGCUUUGUUUGGGAUGCGAUCCACAUCGGGAAAGAAUGCACUCAUCCUGUGGUCCAGAUCUCUCCCCAAUGGCUGGAAUCGAGGGCCCGGAGUCCCCGCGGCCAUCCAUUACCACUGAGACGGCCCAGGUUGGGGGCCCGUGUUGUUUUAUAUGACGGCUUAUCCUGCCGUGAGCCGUUCUGUGCCCCUCGCUGACCGCUCACCUUCUGGUGCAGGCAUCGGCUCAGCGAUGAAGAAAUGCACAAGCCCGUGGGCCAUCACCAGCAAAUGUCCGGUUUUCAUGCUGCCUGUAGGGUGCGCUUUCUGGGGCAGUCCAGGGUACCCCAGGUGCACCAAGGGAUGACGGGGAACCCACAGGAAGGGACACCCGAUAAGCCAGGAGAAGGUUCAGAAGGAUGGAAAGGUUGCUCUGUAGCGAGGGAACGGCAGCAGCGAACGCACAGAGGCGUAAGGGAGCGGUGAGUUUAGGAGCAAUACAGACAUUUCCGAUUGUUGGAGGUAUGCCGUGAGGCCAGGGCAAGUGGCAGGUGACGGAGUGGAGAGAGAGAAAAAGGAAACAAGCAAGCGAGCAAAAAGUAUCCGUAACAUGCCACACGGUAAUAGGAGCAAAGGCAAAAGUCAAGCAGAGGUGGGGACAGAGCUGGGGAUGCUGUAGGUAGGUGGGUGGUCAGGGAGGGCUUCUCUGAGGAAGGGACAUUUGAGCCGCCGCGCGAGCUGUGCAAGGGUCCUCUCCCACCUGAUCUCAUCUGGUCCUCAUGACCGCGUGAAACGAAGGCCGCAGACAAGGACCCUACCGCCCCAGGGCUGGGCCUGGGCUGGGGAGUGAGUUUGAGGCAGAGCGGGGCCCAGGAUCCGGCGCUCCAGACACCCAAGGCAGGGGUCCUUCGAGCUCAGAGUGGCCUCCUCCGCCAAAUGUGGGCUUUGGCCCAGCCCAGGACCUCUCCUCGGUCUCUGCAGCCUUGUCACCCACGACCCUACCCAGCAGCAAGACGAGGUUAAGACGGGCUCUGACAUCAGACAGGUGCAGCUCUAAUUCCAGUCUCUCCUAUUAGCUGCUUCAUCUGGAGCAAGGAAGCCUCAGUGUCUUCCCCUGUGAAAGGGGGUAAUCGAGCAUCUUUCUCGUGGAACACCGGACGGUGCAAGCAAAGCCCUUAGCACCGCGCCCGGCACACGUAGACGGGGCUUAUGGAACGCGAGUUACCGGCCAUCUUGGCGCACAGGGCCCCCCGCCUCCUCGAGCCAUCUGAGUGAUGACCACACGGCCGCUGCCCUCGGCUGGGCCAUGGCGGGCUUGGCUCGGUGCGACAGGGCGGGCUGUUGUAGAGCGACCCCGGCCCCCUUGUCUCGAGGUGGGACCCGCUGUGUCCCUUCUAUGCCCUGUCACAUCUGAUGCACCCUCCUCGCCUUCCCUUCUGUUUGCCCGGUGCUUCCUGCUUUCAGACCUGCUCACUUUGCUCCCUAAUAUGCAUCGCUGACAGACAUUAUGUUUAUUUCCUUGUUCCCUUACGGCCGUCUCCCCUGACAGAAGUUGGACACCCCGAUGACGGAGAUUCGGGGCGCUCUGUGCGCGGCUGCAGGUCUGGCGCCCAGAACGUGACCGGACUCCCAGUAGGUCCUGGAAACAUGUUGGUUGAACGGGUGGAUGAAGAAAUGGAACAAAUGCGCUGUGGAUGUCCGUGGCCACGGGCCAUCUCCCCAGACAGCCUGUGUUAUUUUCUUUCAGGCCACGGCUGCAGAAGGUCAAGGGUCUGGUCCAUUUCCUUAGCCAUCCUGACCUUGACCCGAAGGCACUCGGCCCUGGGCAUGGGAGGGCCUCCUUCCAUGCACCCGUGUUCCCUCCAGGCCGGCGCAAGGGGGACCCUGUCUUUCUUCCUAGCUCUCAGGUCAGGUCCAUGAGGAGACAACAGGAGGGGAAGACAGAUAAGCCUAUGAGGCCUCUGGGGACCCAGAAGGGCCCACGUCUGCACCUGUCACCCCUACUGCACGGCCCUGCUCCUCACUCCAUCACCACUUCAGUCUCCGUUAGGAAGCUGGCGGGGGAGUCCGAAUCCCCAGGGGUUUGGACUCGUGGGCGCCACAUGUAGCGAUGAUCCCGCCAGCCUCGAAAUCAGGCCCAUGGAGCCCCACCCGCGGGUGCAGGAGGUGGGGAGAGUGGGACAGGGGGCAAUAUGGGCCGGUGCGACUCAGUCGAGGGGCCGCAGCCCAAACAGCAGCUGUUUCUGUGAUUCAGCAAAGAGCGGGUGGGGGUGCUGACGGCUGGGGCGGGCCGGGACUGGAGCUGAGUGAGAGGAGUCAGGGAAGGGGGGGGGGGACACGGGUCACCCUGCACGCAGGCCCGUAGCCACUACUUUUGGGUCCUGCCCCCGCAUCACCUUGGCCCCGUGGGCCUGCCUUCACCCCCGUGGCCUGUUGCCGCAUGUAGGUUUCACUGUUAUCCGGAAUUGGUGAGGCCAGCAGAUCGGGGCAUAGUCUGCCGCCCGCAGAUCCCAAGAGGAGGGGACCGUCACAUCAUGGGGAGCCACGCAGGGAAGGAGCAGGCGGGUCAGGACGCAGCGCGAGUGGGAGGGAAGCGUAGGGGCAAGACCCUGUAUUGUGGUUUCCGCAGGGAAGAGUGGGUGGGCAGGUAAGCAGGCGAGUUUGAGUAAUUUCAUUGGGCUCUGGGGCCCAGGAACUGUCGCUCGUUGUCUGGUAUCUGGCCCCGGGGUGAUUAGGGCAGGUGGGUAGCCGCCCAGAUAUGAGGGUUAAAUGAGGUGGUUGUAAUAUGUCUCUGUUUGGGUUGCCCCUAACAGGCACACUCACAGGCCAGUGGUUUGCGCUCUCAAGGAACUGGCCAGCCCGGGGCGGGGUCGUCCCUCCAGGGUCACAAAGGCCCCAGAUGUCAGAGCAUCAGAAACGCAUGGGUAAUACACACCCCCUACCCCGUUCGCCAGACUCCCCUGGGAGCGGCACUCAGGCCACGGUUGAGCCCCAGCGCCAGUCUGACGACUGGGGGGAGGGGGGGAGGGCUCUUGGCAAAAGGUGGGUGGAUGAGGGACCACCAUGGACCAGACACGGUGCCGGGCACUGGGGGACAGAACAGUGAACAAGAAGGCAAGAUCGCUCCUCUCAAGGAUUUUAUGCCCUGGAGGCAUGGUGGACCCCGAACCAGUAAACAAACAGAUAAACGAGGGGCCUCGGUUACUGGGAAGUGUGAUGGCGAAAUAAAACGCCAAGAUGUUACGGCCUCCAGGCAGGAUGGAGGAUGGAAGGAGAGGGGCUCCAUCGGGAAGGGCGGUCAGCGUAGCCUCUCGGAGGAGGUGACUGUUGGGCUGAGACCUGAAUCUUGACAAGGAGCCACACAAAGAUUUGGGGGCAGAAUAUUUUAGCGGGGGGAAGACGCGAAGGAACGAAUAAAUGAAAGACCAAAUCCGUUUCUCGGUCUGGAUUGCCCACCUCCUUACAGCUGGCGGCAGGGUAUUUUGAGGCCUGAAUGACAUCCGGGUCAGAAUCUCACAUAUUCACAUCGCUUCCAUCACGGUCUCCGUCACGAAGGGAGACAUUCCACAGGGUGACCUGGGCCCUGUGAGCAGGCGCUUUGGGGCCUCGGGGCAAGACACCCUCUUAACCAUCCACGUUCUCUGACCCCCUGCUUCCAGGCAGACAGGCUGUAAGCAGUUGUAACGGGCGUCUCUCCUGCUCUGGGGGCUGGAGCAGACACCUUGAGACGCUCGUCUCGCUGGCUCGCAAGGCUGUCACGGCAGCCGUGUGCACCCCCCUGCAGGCUGGGGGCCCCCCACACCGCAUCUGUCCCAGCCACGUGGGUCCCUGCUCCCCCCUGGGGAGGCCCCUGCCACCAGGCUGGGUUCCAGAGGGGAUUCACCACCGGCCCAGGAAAGCGGAUCGUGUCCAAAGAUCGGGCGUGAGAGGAGGUCGGGAAAGGCAGGAAAGCAACCUUCCCUGAGCGCCUACUUUCUGCUCGGGGGAAAGGGAGUGACUUCCCCAAGGUCUGGCCAUCUCUGUUUCAUUCAUUCAUCCAUUGGUCCAGGUUUCAAAUAUUUCUUGGAUCCCCUAGGGGGUGGGCAAAACACGGAUUUCAGAGCCCAGACACCCCCGGUCCAGAGCCUUUUCUUCCACUGCCUAGGAAGGGGGCCUAAGGCAAACUUGUCUGCCUCAGUUUCCUCAUUAGUAAACCAAAGGAUAAUGGCACCGGCGCCUGAUGAGGCUCCCCGAAGCAUCAGCAGGAAUGCCUAUGGGUCAUCCCGGCCCACAGGUGGUCCUCACUCACGUCCGGCACUGGCUUAGGGAUUGCGGACAGCCGGACAGGACGCCACAAGCCUGGCCUUCAAAAUGCUCAAAGACUGGGGCGCCUGCGUGGCUCAGUCAGUGAGGCGUCCAACUCUUGAUUUCGGCUCCGGUCAUCAUCUCGCUGUUCGUGAGAUCGAGCCCCGCGUGGGGCUCCGGGCUGACGGUGCAGCCUGCUCAGGAUUCUCCUGUCGCCCUCUCUCUCUGCCCCUCCCCCUCUUGGGUGCUCACCAUGCACGCACGUGCUUACACGCCCUCUGUCUCUCAAAGUAAAGAAAUAAACAUGAAAAAAAAAUGUUUUAAUGCUCAGAGACUAAUGAGGGACAGACAUGUCACAGCGGCUCAUGCCAGUAGGCAAGGUUGGAGUGGGUGCCACAUAAAAGCGUGAGGGACGUGUUACGGGUGGUUACGUUUGGGUGCAGUGAGGGGGAGUUUUCAAGGAACAUAUGGCACCUGAGUCUCAUGAGAGGGAGAGGAGAGGGUACAUCCAGGUGGAGGGGAUAGCCUCAGCAAGGCUUGGAGAGAGACCUAAAGGCUGUUCGGGGACAGUGGGGACAGAGUAGAUCAAUGUCGCUUGGGCAAGGGGACCAAGGGAGGGAUUGGCAAGGUGUGGUUGUCGGAUUAAGCUGAACGGCUUUGACUGUGACAGUAACGAACUUGAACUUCAUCCUCUGGGCAGAACUUGAGCUUCCCUCUGGGGAAGGCCAUAACAUACCCUGGCGGGGUCUUAGGGAGAGAUUUUCUGGGACCUUGUGGAGAAUGACUUAGCAGGGCUGAGACCGGGGGCAGAGAGCAGCUCUGAGGUCCUUCAAAUCCAGCCGCGAGAUGGAGAACAGACAGAUCUGGAUGAAAAGGAGACCGAUCUAUCGAGCACUUACCAUGUUCCGGACACGCCCCGUACAUUUGUUCACUCGCCUCUCAACAGUGC